UGUCCAUUGUCAGACUGGAACCUGUGACCUGUAAUUCUGCUAGUAACAACACACAGAGAAUGGCAUCUCUUUGGUUUAUCUUAAUGAUUUUGUUCAUUGUCAAGCCACGGCAGUCUGUGGAGGAGUCUGUGUUUCGAGAGGUCCAGCUUGGAGAUACUGCCAUUUUGCUCUGUAAUAUCUCUUACCAUUACGAGAUAACCUGGUUUAAGCACAAACCUGAGCAGACUCCUGCCGUUUUAAUGUGUGUGAGUCUAAAUGGUGGAAAUAUCAUCUAUGGGCACCGAUCCAAUCUUCAUUUCGAGGCAGAGAUUGCCAACAGGUCAUUGGCAUUGAAAAUCAAGACCGUUGAGGAUGCAGACCGUGGAUUGUAUUACUGCAUGGGAAAGGUUGGGAAAAGUAUGAUGCUUGGGGGAGGAAGCAGACUUCACGUGUCUGGCCUUGAAGCUAUAAAUGAAUCUUCUACCACUUAUGAACAAGCUUCGCCUGCAUUGUGUAGUUGUACCUCCGGGCUCUCCUUCACUCAUCUGCAUGCAGCUGUAGUUGGACUGGGUCUGUUGGGGAUGAUACUGGCAGUUUGCAUCACUCAUCACAAGACCAAGAAAAGAAACAUGGCAACCUAAACGGUCUGGUCAGAAUAAGCUGCUCUGUAUGCUUUUCUUGCUCAGUGUGUUUCAGUGUCUGAUUACAGUAUAAUGUAUAAGACACCUGAAUGCUAUAGUCCUACAGCAUGUAUUUUGAUUAUUUAUCUUAAGACAAAUUAUAUUGUGGUCAACAGCUCUGGAAUUUGGGUCAAGUUUAUCAGGAAGGAAGGAAUUAUUUUGUCUCAGUGUGUAAGAUUUCCUGCUGCAUAUUUUGUCAUUCGUAUUUGUAUUGCACUUGGGCCUUUUGAAAUUAAAAUAAAUAAAAGACUGCAUGAGG
Molecule: non-coding RNA, 918 nt
Organism: Salvelinus namaycush (lake trout)
Lineage: Eukaryota; Metazoa; Chordata; Actinopteri; Salmoniformes; Salmonidae
Source: the annotation of a RefSeq genome assembly